This 253-nucleotide ribosomal RNA is filed under the name uncultured bacterium. RNAcentral describes it as "partial 16S ribosomal RNA". It matches the Rfam family "Bacterial small subunit ribosomal RNA", at positions 524 to 776 of the family's 1533-position model. The record is from RNAcentral.
UACAGAGGUGGCGACCGUUGUUCGGAAUCACUGGGCAUAAAGCGCGUGUAGGCGGCAUUGUAAGUCGGGUGUGAAAUCCCUCGGCCUAACCGAGGAAUUGCGCCCGAAACUACUUUGCUUGAGGGCUGGAGGGGAGCCUGGAAUUCCUGGUGGAGCGGUGAAAUGCGUUGAUAUCAGGAGGAACACCGGCGGCGAAGGCGAGGCUCUGGCCAGUUACUGACGCUGAGACGCGAAAGCUAGGGGAGCAAACGGG